GCAUGCCUGUGCACCGUGGUCUCUGCCCGAACCGACCCUGGCGUACUUCCCCAACGCCAGGUUCGUGUCUUCGGUCAGAGACCAGGGUGCACGGGCGCCGCAGC
This is a regulatory RNA element of Mycobacterium sp. 1423905.2, 104 nucleotides long. It matches the Rfam family "mraW RNA". The record is from Rfam. Lineage: Bacteria; Bacillati; Actinomycetota; Actinomycetes; Mycobacteriales; Mycobacteriaceae.